Molecule: ribosomal RNA, 439 nt
Filed under: uncultured bacterium
Lineage: Bacteria
Description: partial 16S ribosomal RNA
Rfam family: Bacterial small subunit ribosomal RNA
Source: RNAcentral
CCUACGGGAGGCUGCAGUGGGGAAUAUUGCACAAUGGGCGAAAGCCUGAUGCAGCAACGCCGCGUGAGUGAUGAAGGCCUUCGGGUCGUAAAGCUCUGUCCUCAAGGAAGAUAAUGCCGGUACUUGAGGAGGAAGCCCCGGCGAAUUACGGGCCAGCAGCCGCGGUAAUACGCGGGGGGCUAGCGGUAUCCGGAAUUACUGGGCGUAAAGGGUGCGUAGGUGGUUUCUUAAGUCAGAGGUGAAAGGCUACGGUUCAACCGUAGUAAGCGUUUGACACUGGGGAACUUGAGUGCAGGAGAGGAGAGUGGAAUUCCUGGUGUAGCGGUGAAAUGCGUAGAUAUUAGGAGGAACACCAGUUGCGAAGGCGGCUCUCUGGACUGUAACUGACGCUGAGGCACGAAAGCGUGGGGAGCAAACAGGAUUAGAUACCCGUGUAGUC